GCUUAGCCCUAAACCUAGAUAGUACCACAACCAACUAUCCGCCAGAGCAUUACAAGCGAAAAGCUUAAAACUCAAAGGACUUGACGGUGCCCCACAUCAACCUAGAGGAGCCUGUCCUAUAAUCGAUAAUCCACGUUAAACCUCACCCGCCAUUGCACAACCCCCAGUCUAUAUACCGCCGUCCCCAGCCCACCUAAUGAUAGAACCAUCAGUGGGCAAAAUAGCCUCCACACUAAUACGUCAGGUCAAGGUGUAACUAAUGGGCGGGAAGAGAUGGGCUACAUUUUCUAGCACUAGACCACCACCAGAGGCAACAUGAAAUAUACGCCAACAAGGAGGAUUUAGCAGUAAGUUCCGGGUAAGACACCCCCAACUGAAGCCUGCCCUGGGGCGCGU
RNAcentral lists this ribosomal RNA (396 nucleotides) under Tenuidactylus caspius. Its description in RNAcentral is "partial 12S ribosomal RNA". It matches the Rfam family "Bacterial small subunit ribosomal RNA", at positions 794 to 1384 of the family's 1533-position model. The record is from RNAcentral. Lineage: Eukaryota; Metazoa; Chordata; Lepidosauria; Squamata; Gekkonidae.